ACUCAAAUGAAUUGACGGGGGCUCACACAAGCGGUGGAGCAUGUGGCUUAAUUCGAAGCAACGCGAAGAACCUUACCCGGGUUUGACAUGCAUGGAUGUUUCUCGGCGAUGAGUUGAGAAAUUACCUUUCGGGGUGAAACAUGCACAGGUGUUGCACGGCUGUCGUCAGCUCGUGCUGUGAAGUGUCGGGUUAAGUCCCUUAACGAGCGAAACCCUUGUCGCUAGUUACUAGCAGGUAAAGCUGUGGACUCUAGCGAGACUGCCGGCGUUAAGCCGGAGGAAGGUGGGGAUGACGUCAAGUCAUCGUGGCCCUUAUGCCCGGGGAUGCACACGUGCUACAAUGACCACUACAGAGGGCUGCAAGACCGUAAGGUGGAGCAAAUCCCAAAAAAGUGGCCCCAGUUCGGAUUGGAGGCUGCAAUUCGCCUCCAUGAAGUUGGAAUCGCUAGUAAUCGCGCAUCAGCUACGGCGCGGUGAAUGUGUUCCUGAGCCUUGUACACACCGCCCGU
This 509-nucleotide ribosomal RNA is filed under the name uncultured bacterium. RNAcentral's name for it is "partial 16S ribosomal RNA". It matches the Rfam family "Bacterial small subunit ribosomal RNA", at positions 899 to 1397 of the family's 1533-position model. The record is from RNAcentral.